UCUCGUCGCUUAUAUCGCAAACUAAUCGUCCCAACUCGAAAAUCAAGUGUUCAAUCGGACAAUAGUAUCCCCUUCCAUGGCUCAAUGAAUUCAUCCUAAACUCAGUAAUCCACUUAAGAUCCCCUAAGUAAAGAACAACCCCCCUUUGCACAAACCCUUUAACUAGACUCCUUAAUUCUCCAAGUCUUUUUUCUACAUCUCCUCUAGAUAGUUGGCCAAAAGAGAAUAGAGGAAGACUUAUAAACUUAACACCUUUUAAAGCUUCAGGAACUUCUCUUUUAUUAACCUUCUCCAUCACUUUUCCUACAACUCCUUCAAUGGUAGCAACACUCUCACCUACAACCACAAGACUUCGCGAUCGCUUCUCGUUUAAAAGAUGUUCGAUUACACACACCACAUCCUCAUUCAUCACCUUAACUUGAUCAUUAUGAAGUCUAUUUGCAGUACUAUUUUCUUUUGUGCACCCUUUUGAAACAAUAGGAGGAUGUGUCUGAUGAGAUGACAAAGCUAAAGAAACAAGUUGUUCUAUAUUCUUUUUCACUUGUGUACUCGAAAAUCCGGCUUCUCGCAUCACUCUACUAACACUUGGAUCAUCUAGAAUAGAUAUUAUAAGCUGUUCAAGCUCAAUCUUUACAGCGAGCAACGGUUGCUGCUGGUUUUCAAUCGAUCCACGCCGCUGGUGAGCUUGUGCGCGCUUGAAAGCCGCAACUAGAGCGUUUGAAAUAGAGGGGUGUUGUGAUGAGUGAUUAGGGUUUAGCAUAGGGCUAGAUGAGGAUGUUGGUAGACGAUUUAAGGCGACAUUAAAGCAAAGCUCGAGAGCUUUACACUGAAGAGGGUGCGAGUUUGAUUGCGACUGGACGCAGGCGGUUCGAAGGAGGCCGGUGGCGGAGGAGAGCAUGGUGUUAGCAACAUGAAGAGGGGUCACCUGAGCAUGACCACGGCGGUGUGCUAGUGUGACAGAUUGUUUUAUAAUGCUUGCUGCAUCUGAACUUAAAGCUUGUUGGAUAGUGAAACCACCAGCUCUCAUGAGAGGAGGGGUGGGGGUGGGGUAAGAUUUAGAGGGCCAAAGUGGAUUUUGUAGUGGAAAGCAGAAUGCAUGUGCUGACAAGCAGGAAGAAUUCAUCAGUCCCAAAGGCAACUCAGCUUUGAAAACAAUCAAGAACAAUAUUUGUACGAUUUCCUUGAAGCUGAGUACUCUUUUGAGUCUUUAUAAUCUACUCAUAAUACAUAAAGAAAACAAAUUUUAUCUGAAAAUAUCAUUUUGUUCCAAAGGAAAUUGUGAUCCAAACU
This 1290-nucleotide long non-coding RNA is filed under the name Helianthus annuus (common sunflower). Its description in RNAcentral is "hypothetical non coding rna". The record is from RNAcentral. Lineage: Eukaryota; Viridiplantae; Streptophyta; Magnoliopsida; Asterales; Asteraceae.